Molecule: ribosomal RNA, 369 nt
Filed under: uncultured bacterium
Lineage: Bacteria
Description: bacterial SSU rRNA
Rfam family: Bacterial small subunit ribosomal RNA
Source: RNAcentral
AUUGAACGCUGGCGGCAUGCUUUACACAUGCAAGUCGAACGGGCUGGGGGCAACUCCAGUCAGUGGCGAACGGGUGAGUAAUACAUCGGAACGUACCUCGUAGUGGGGGAUAACUCGGCGAAAGCCGUGCUAAUACCGCAUAUGCUCUACGGAGGAAAGCAGGGGACCGUAACAGGCCUUGUGCUAUGGGAGCGGCCGAUGUCCGAUUAGCUAGUUGGUGAGGAAUGGCUCACCAAGGCGACGAUCGGUAGCUGGUCUGAGAGGAUGAUCAGCCACACUGGGACUGAGACACGGCCCAGACUCCUACGGGAGGCAGCAGUGGGGAAUUUUGGACAAUGGGGGCAACCCUGAUCCAGCCAUGCCGCGUGG